GGCCAGACUCCUACGAGAGGCAGCAGUGGGGAAUAUUGCACAAUGGGCGAAAGCCUGAUGCAGCGACGCCGCGUGAGUGAAGAAGUCUUUCGGUAUGUAAAGCUCUAUCAGCAGGGAAGAAAAUGACGGUACCUGACUAAGAAGCCCCGGCUAACUACGUGCCAGCAGCCGCGGUAAUACGUAGGGGGCAAGCGUUAUCCGGAUUUACUGGGUGUAAAGGGAGUGUAGGUGGCAUAACAAGUCAGAAGUGAAAGCCCGGGGCUCAACCGCGGGACUGCAUUUGGAACUGUGUGGCUGGAGUGUCGGAGAGGCAAGUGGAAUUCCUAGUGUAGCGGUGAAAUGCGUAGAUAUUAGGAGGAACACCAGUGGCGAAGGCGGCUUGCUGGACGAUGACUGACGUUGAGGCUCGAAAGCGUGGGGAGCAAACAGGAUUAGAUACCCCCGUAA
This 447-nucleotide ribosomal RNA is filed under the name uncultured bacterium. Its description in RNAcentral is "bacterial SSU rRNA". It matches the Rfam family "Bacterial small subunit ribosomal RNA", at positions 329 to 793 of the family's 1533-position model. The record is from RNAcentral.